This 855-nucleotide ribosomal RNA is filed under the name uncultured archaeon. Its description in RNAcentral is "bacterial SSU rRNA". It matches the Rfam family "Archaeal small subunit ribosomal RNA", at positions 39 to 899 of the family's 1478-position model. The record is from RNAcentral.
UUCGAUUAUGCCAUGCGAGUCGUGAGUCUUAGGGACUCGGCGUACCGCUCAGUAACACGUGGGUAACCUGCCCUAUGCUGGGGAAUAACCUCGGGAAACUGAGAAUAAUGCCCCAUAGUUCACCACGCCUGGAACGGUGGGUGGAUGAAAGCUCCGGCGGCAUAGGAUGGGCCUGCGGCGUAUCAGGUCGUAGGGGGUGUAAAGUACCCUCUAGCCAUCGACGCGUACGGGUGUUGGGAGACAUUGCCCGGAGAUGGAUUCUGAGACACGAAUCCAGACCCCACGGGGUGCAGCAGGCGCGAAAACUUGGCAAUGCGAGCAAUCGUGACCAGGGAACUCCAAGUGCAUCGGGUAAGACCGAUGCUUUUCUUGACUCUUCAACGGUCUUGGAAUAAGGGGUGGGUAAGGACGGUGCCAGCCGCCGCGGUAAUACCGGCGCCUCAAGUGGUAGUCGCUUUUAUUGGGCCUAAAACGUCCGUAGCCGGUUUGGUACAUUCGUGGGUAAAUCAAGGCGCUCUACGUCUUGAAUUCUGCGAGCACGGCCAGACUUGGGACCGGGUGAGGUGUGGGGUACUCUCAGGGUAGGGGUAAAAUCCUGUCAUCCUGAGAGGACCACCUGUUGCGAAGGCGCCACACUAGAACGGAUCCGACGGUCAGGGACGAAGCCUAGGGGCACGAACCGGAUUAGAUACCCGGGUAGUCCUAGGUGUAAACGCUGUGGACUUGAUGUUGGGAGUGCUCCGAGCACCCUCAGUGUCGAAGCGAAGGUGAUAAGUCCACUGCCUGGGGAGUACGGUCGCAAGGCUGAAACUUAAAGGAAUUGGCGGGGGAGCACUGCAACCUGAGGAUUGUGCG